RNAcentral lists this ribosomal RNA (492 nucleotides) under Acinetobacter pittii. RNAcentral describes it as "bacterial SSU rRNA". It matches the Rfam family "Bacterial small subunit ribosomal RNA", at positions 38 to 518 of the family's 1533-position model. The record is from RNAcentral. Lineage: Bacteria; Pseudomonadati; Pseudomonadota; Gammaproteobacteria; Moraxellales; Moraxellaceae.
GGUCCAUAGGGGGCAGCUUACACAUGCAAGUCGAGCGGAGAGAGGUAGCUUGCUACUGAUCUUAGCGGCGGACGGGUGAGUAAUGCUUAGGAAUCUGCCUAUUAGUGGGGGACAACAUUUCGAAAGGAAUGCUAAUACCGCAUACGUCCUACGGGAGAAAGCAGGGGAUCUUCGGACCUUGCGCUAAUAGAUGAGCCUAAGUCGGAUUAGCUAGUUGGUGGGGUAAAGGCCUACCAAGGCGACGAUCUGUAGCGGGUCUGAGAGGAUGAUCCGCCACACUGGGACUGAGACACGGCCCAGACUCCUACGGGAGGCAGCAGUGGGGAAUAUUGGACAAUGGGCGCAAGCCUGAUCCAGCCAUGCCGCGUGUGUGAAGAAGGCCUUAUGGUUGUAAAGCACUUUAAGCGAGGAGGAGGCUACUUUAGUUAAUACCUAGAGAUAGUGGACGUUACUCGCAGAAUAAGCACCGGCUAACUCUGUGCCAGCAGCCGC